GGCACAAUGAUUGAGAAUCGAACACUAUUGCAAAAUCGGCCAGCGAAACGUUAAUGCGGUGGCGUUAUUCCUCCAGUGGGAUCAAAUUUCCAACAAAUUGUUUGGAGAAUUGAACGAUAUUGCAAUCAGUUUAUGUUCUAACGUUCAAAACUGUUUGAAGAUUGCGACAUUACUUAAAUCUCUCCAAUUUGUUGCCGCUGGUUCCGGAUUGUGUAUGAAUUUGACAAAUUUGUUGUUUGGAGGACUGGAAAGUUCAGUUGUUUUUAUUUUGAAGUUCCAUAUUUCAUAGUUGCUUGCUUACAAACCGUUCGACGAAAUACCUCAGUGAAGCCAUUUUAGUGUUCUUGAUCAGGUGUUGUGAAAGUGAGAAGAGGUGGAUCAAAGAAUCCAAUCGCCUUUGUUGCUAUAAUCAUUGUAGUUUCUUGUUUUUUUUCUGAUAAAGAGAGUAUGAUAUGAUAAGAAAGAUUUGGUUUAUACAUUUGAUGAUAUCUGUUGUGAUUCAAGCUGUUUUUUUUUUGGUUUAAGCGGACGUGAAGCUAUAUACAAUUUAGAAUUUAAAACUGAAACUCUCUACCUUUUAUUUAUGAUUCCAUGAAAUUUAGAAUUAAAAACUAAAACUUUGGUGGAUUUAAGUUAAAUAAAGCUUAAAACAUGUUAACUCACUAA
RNAcentral lists this long non-coding RNA (666 nucleotides) under Helianthus annuus (common sunflower). RNAcentral's name for it is "sRNA HanXRQr2_Chr13g0567461". The record is from RNAcentral. Lineage: Eukaryota; Viridiplantae; Streptophyta; Magnoliopsida; Asterales; Asteraceae.